CAGCAGCCGCGGGAAUACGGAGGGUGCAAGCGUUAAUCGGAAUUACUGGGCGUAAAGCGCACGCAGGCGGUCUGACAAGUCAGAUGUGAAAUCCCCGGGCUUAACCUGGGAACUGCAUUUGAAACUGUCAGGCUGGAGUCUUGUAGAGGGUGGUGGAAUUCCAGGUGUAGCGGUGAAAUGCGUAGAGAUCUGGAGGAAUACCGGUGGCGAAGGCGGCCCCCUGGACAAAGACUGACGCUCAGGUGCGAAAGCGUGGGGAGCAAACAGGAUUAGAUACCCCUGUAGUCCCUGUCUCUUAUAC
This 301-nucleotide ribosomal RNA is filed under the name uncultured bacterium. Its description in RNAcentral is "partial 16S ribosomal RNA". It matches the Rfam family "Bacterial small subunit ribosomal RNA", at positions 509 to 807 of the family's 1533-position model. The record is from RNAcentral.